RNAcentral lists this ribosomal RNA (925 nucleotides) under uncultured bacterium. RNAcentral's name for it is "bacterial SSU rRNA". It matches the Rfam family "Bacterial small subunit ribosomal RNA", at positions 8 to 916 of the family's 1533-position model. The record is from RNAcentral.
AGAGUUUGAUCAUGGCUCAGGACGAACGCUGGCGGCGUGCUUAAUACAUGCAAGUCGAGCGAGGUUACUGUUUCGGAUCCCUUUCGGGGUGAAGAAGCUUUAACCUAGCGGCGGACGGGUGAGUAACGCGUGGGUAACCUACCCCAAAGUCCGGGAUAACAGCGGGAAACCGCUGCUAAUACCGGAUGCCUUUACCUUGGGGCAUCUUGAGGUAAAGAAAGGUAACGCUUUGGGAUGGGCCCGCGUCCCAUUAGCUAGUUGGUGAGGUAACGGCUCACCAAGGCGACGAUGGGUAGCCGGCCUGAGAGGGUGGACGGCCACACUGGGACUGAGACACGGCCCAGACUCCUACGGGAGGCAGCAGUAGGGAAUAUUGCGCAAUGGACGGAAGUCUGACGCAGCGACGCCGCGUGAGCGAUGAAGGUCUUCGGAUCGUAAAGCUCUGUCCUUGGGGAAGAAGGGAGCCGUAAGGCUUCUUGACGGUACCCAUGGAGGAAGCCCCGGCUAACUACGUGCCAGCAGCCGCGGUAAUACGUAGGGGGCAAGCGUUGUCCGGAAUUAUUGGGCGUAAAGGGUGCGUAGGCGGCCCUUUAAGUCAGAUGUGAAAGCCCACGGCUUAACCGUGGGACUGCAUUUGAAACUGGAGGGCUUGAGUGUCGGAGAGGGCAGUGGAAUUCCCAGUGUAGCGGUGGAAUGCGUAGAUAUUGGGAGGAACACCAGUGGCGAAGGCGACUGCCUGGACGAUAACUGACGCUGAGGCACGAAAGCUAGGGGAGCAAACAGGAUUAGAUACCCUGGUAGUCCUAGCCGUAAACGAUGGGUACUAGGUGUAGGAGGUUUCGAUACCUUCUGUGCCGCAGUUAACGCAAUAAGUACCCCGCCUGGGGAGUACGUGCGCAAGCAUGAAACUCAAAUGAAUUGACGG